ACAGAAUCUGAUUUGCAUCAAGCUUUUGGUAAUGUGGUGAACGACAAUCGCAAUGGACUAAAAGAGUUUGCUAGUAGUUGUGCCAAGAAACCUCGUUGGAAAAUCAGCAAAGGAAAUGCUGCAGAAAUUAUUGGUGUUGUCUUUGGAAUUUUAAUUUUGCUCGUUUUCAUCUUGUGUAUGUUCCUUUGGCUAAGGAAGCGCCGCCAGGAAAACGAGGCUUCAACGAAGCUCUUCGACAAUACUGUGGCUAACGAAACUGCAGUUAAUGUUGACAAGUAAAUUCAACAAGUACCGUCCAACAGAUACCAAGGAACAAUACAAACCGACGACGUCACUAUGUUAUUAUUUAAUAUUUAACUUUGGACAUAAAGCCAAGAAUCCACCAUUAAGUAACAUAUACUACUGCAGCACUAACUGCUUUCAUUAUGAUGCUGUCAGUCAUGAAUUUUUAAAGAAAAAUAUCUUAUCAAUGAUAUUGCGAGGUUUCUUUGAAAUUUUAUUAUGUAUCAAGUGACCUGUUGUAAUGUAUUUUGACGUUGGCUGCGUGUCAGCCUCUUAAUGUGGUUUACAUAAAGUAUCGUAUCAACCUUGCAUAAAUCAUAUAGUUGUGCCAUAUAACAUGAAGAUGAUUCUUAUUUUAAAACUGGAAUCUAAUUUUGUAUAUGAUCAUUUUAUCACAUAAUAUAUACGUUUUCGUUUUUGUAAAUAUCGCGAAUUAUAUAUUGUAUAAUCAAUGAUACAGUUUACAUAUUU
Molecule: long non-coding RNA, 753 nt
Organism: Xenia sp. Carnegie-2017
Lineage: Eukaryota; Metazoa; Cnidaria; Anthozoa; Malacalcyonacea; Xeniidae
Exons: 4
Source: RefSeq, a predicted model, not a curated record